GUACUGGAAUUGCUGGAGUGGAAGGCAGAGAAUGCCGUGCCUGACAAAGGAUUUGAGAAGCUAUUGAAAAUAUUGAAGAAGAAGCUUCCAAAGGAUAAUGAAUUGCCCGACAGUACAUACGCAACAAAGAAGGUCCUAUGCCCACUAGGAUUGGAGGUGCAGAAGAUACAUGCAUGCCCUAAUGACUGCAUCCUCUACCGCGGUGCGUACAAGGAUCUGAACACAUGCCCGGUAUGCGGUGCAUUGCGGUAUAAGAUCAGACAAGAUGACCCUGGUGAUGUUGACGGCGAGCCCCCCAGGAAGAGGGUUCCUGCGAAGGUGAUGUGGUAUGCUCCUAUAAUACCACGGUUGAAACGUCUGUUCAGAAACGAAGAGCAUGCCAAGUUGAUGCGAUGGCACAGUGAGGACCGUAAGAAAGACGGGAAGUUGAGAGCACCCGCUAACGGGUCGCAGUGGAGAAAAAUCGAGAGAAAGUACUGGGCUGAGUUUGCAGCUGACCCAAGGAACGUAUGGUUUGGUUUAAGUGCGGAUGGCAUUAAUCCUUUCGGGGAGCAGAACAGCAAUCACAACACCUGGCCCGUGGCUCUAUGUAUGUAUAACCUUCCUCCUUGGAUGUGCAUGAAGCGGAAGUUCAUUAUGAUGCCAGUUCUCAUCCAAGGCCCUAAGCAACCCGGCAACGACAUUGAUGUGUACCUAAGGCCAUUAGUUGAAGAACUUUUACAGCUGUGGAAUGGAAACGGUGUACGUACGUGGGAUGAGCACAAACAGGAGGAAUUUAACCUGCACGCGUUGCUGUUUGUAACCAUCAACGAUUGGCCCGCUCUCAGUAACCUUUCAGGACAGACAAACAAGGAAUACCACGCAUGCACGCACUGUUCAGAUGACACUGAAAGUAUAUACCUAGACAAAUGCAAGAAGAAUGUGUACCUGGGCCAUCGUCGAUUUCUUCCGACCAACCAUCAAUGUCGAAAGAAAGGCAAGCAUUUCAAAGGCGAGGCAGAUCACCGGAAGAAGCCAGCCAUGCGUACCGGUGAUCACGUACUUGCUAUGGUCAAUGAUUUACACGUAAUCUAU
Molecule: ribosomal RNA, 1074 nt
Filed under: Triticum aestivum (bread wheat)
Lineage: Eukaryota; Viridiplantae; Streptophyta; Magnoliopsida; Poales; Poaceae
Description: partial small subunit ribosomal RNA
Source: RNAcentral